UGGGGAAUUUUGGACAAUGGACGCAAGUCUGAUCCAGCCAUGCCGCGUGCGGGAAGAAGGCCUUCGGGUUGUAAACCGCUUUUGUCAGGGAAGAAACGAGUUUCUCUAAUACAGAGACUUAAUGACGGUACCUGAAGAAUAAGCACCGGCUAACUACGUGCCAGCAGCCGCGGUAAUACGUAGGGUGCGAGCGUUAAUCGGAAUUACUGGGCGUAAAGCGUGCGCAGGCGGUUAUGCAAGACAGAUGUGAAAUCCCCGGGCUCAACCUGGGAACUGCAUUUGUGACUGCAUAGCUGGAGUGCGGCAGAGGGGGAUGGAAUUCCGCGUGUAGCAGUGAAAUGCGUAGAUAUGCGGAGGAACACCGAUGGCGAAGGCAAUCCCCUGGGCCUGUACUGACGCUCAUGCACGAAAGCGUGGGGAGCAAACA
This 427-nucleotide ribosomal RNA is filed under the name uncultured bacterium. Its description in RNAcentral is "bacterial SSU rRNA". It matches the Rfam family "Bacterial small subunit ribosomal RNA", at positions 355 to 774 of the family's 1533-position model. The record is from RNAcentral.